RNAcentral lists this long non-coding RNA (525 nucleotides) under Monodelphis domestica (gray short-tailed opossum). RNAcentral describes it as "lncRNA (ENSMODG00000035541.2)". Lineage: Eukaryota; Metazoa; Chordata; Mammalia; Didelphimorphia; Didelphidae. The record is from RNAcentral.
GGAGCAGUGACUGUGUACAACUGCAGACUGAACCACCAGUGGGUUUGCUCCUGUCUCCUCCCCAAGCCCUGCACAGGAGAGGAUGCUGUUGUAUGUCAUUACAACCAUAUUGCACAACUUGUUCAUCCAUUUCCAAAGACGUCUUUAAGAAAGAUGGGCUAUGCUAAACCUGAAGAAGAGAAGACUAAUUUGAGACAAAACAACACACUUGAAAUAUUUGAAGAAUCAUCCGAUGAAUGAGAGAUUAGAUUUCUCUUCAGGUCCAGAAUCUGGGGCAAAUCAUGGAAUAUUGCAAAUAAAGAGCACAGAUGAAGUCAGCAGGAAGCACAGACACGAAAGGCAUUUUUAAAAAGAAGAAAACCAAGGCUCAGAAAAAUUGCCUGCCUCGUCCAACGUCAUACACCAGAAGAACUAGACCUUGGACCUAUGCCCUCUGCCUACAAAUCCAAGAUUCUUUCCCCCAAAGCGUGGUGCCAUUUCUUAGACAAUUGAAAUAAAACACUGUAUAAUGUGGAAGAUUAUGCA